RNAcentral lists this ribosomal RNA (492 nucleotides) under uncultured bacterium. RNAcentral describes it as "partial 16S ribosomal RNA". It matches the Rfam family "Bacterial small subunit ribosomal RNA", at positions 29 to 507 of the family's 1533-position model. The record is from RNAcentral.
AGUGAACGCUGGCGGCAGGCCUAACACAUGCAAGUCGAACGGAUGCACAGUGCUUGCUCCUGCAUUCAGCGGCGGACGGGUGAGUAAUGCCUAGAAAUAUCCCUCUCUAUGUGUUCGAACGUCCGAACGCGGGCGCUCAUACCCCAUACGUGCUGAGGACGUACGGGUGGGAGCUGCGGACCUUCCGCUCUCACGUGAUCCUAUGCCCCGAUGUCGGAUUGGCUAGUUGGCGGGGUACAGACCCACCAAGGCGACGAUCCGUAGCUGGUCUGAGAGGAUGAUCAGCCACACUGGAACUGAGACACGGUCCAGACUCCUACGGGAGGCAGCAGUGGGGAAUAUUGGACAAUGGGCGAAAGCCUGAUCCAGCCAUGCCGCGUGUGUGAAGAAGGUCUUCGGAUUGUAAAGCACUUUAGGUGGGGAGGAAGGGCAGUAAGUUAAUACCUUGCUGUUUUGACGGUACCAACAGAAUAAGCACCGGCUAACUUCGUG